RNAcentral lists this non-coding RNA (31 nucleotides) under Rattus norvegicus (Norway rat). The record is from RNAcentral. Lineage: Eukaryota; Metazoa; Chordata; Mammalia; Rodentia; Muridae.
UGGAUGUGGAUCUAGAUAGGACCUGUUGGGU